UCAGGGCAGAGGAUCCAUCAGGGCUGUGGGUCCUUCUGUUCAUCAGAUAAAUGAUCGGCAGGCUUGUGUCUCAGGUGGUGAAGCAAACAGCUCCAGGACGUGCUUGCGUACUUCAACAGAUCAAGCCAGGUUCCCAAGACUGCCCUUGAGAAGCAGAGGUGGAUCAUGCCUUCUGGAGUGGGGCAUCCCUGUAACAGAGAACACUGGAUGGAAUGCAGUCCACAUGAAGGCGCUUGAUGAGUGAGAAACGUGGAAAGGAA
This is a long non-coding RNA of Lemur catta (Ring-tailed lemur), 260 nucleotides long. RefSeq lists it as uncharacterized. The record is from RefSeq and is a predicted model, not a curated record. The transcript is spliced from 3 exons. NCBI's taxonomy places the organism in Eukaryota, Metazoa, Chordata, Mammalia, Primates, Lemuridae.